CGAUCUUGUUUUCCCCGCACUCGCCGAGCGGGGGAUGGGGGGAUGCAGUGUGGGAGCUGGGCCCCCUAGCUGGGCUCCCCCCCCCGGGGGCCCCCAAUCGCUCACACGGCGGGGGAGGCGGGGAGCCCCUCGGCCUGGGUGCCUUAAGCUGGGGGUGAGCAGUGGUUAGUUCACCCUUAACCUAGAAGUCUUUGCUAUUUCUAGGGGAGGCUAGGGGCUUAGGGGAGAAGCCUAGGAGGACGUCUUUCUACAAAUUACCCUUGAAUAGAUGCAGUCUUAAUCAUGUAUUCUGAACCCAAGGUCUCCCUCAAUAAAAAAUAAGAAAGGAUUGCAAGAUCAAAAAGUCAACUGGUCUCUCAAGCCCCUAAUAAACUUUGUAGCUGUCUCAGACACUUUUAGUUUAAAAAAAAACAAAAAAACAAAAAACAAGGUUAAACCCCUGGCCAGGUUCUUGCCUCCCAAGUACAGAUAACUGACGCGGGCUGCGUGUGGGAACUCGUCUCCUCUUUGUAUUUUUCAAUUCUUUGCCGGGUUGUAGCAGUUUCCUCUACCUGAGUCCAGCCGCCAAACACAACAGCUUCUUCCUUCCUCCACCCUUCUCUCCUACCAAACUCAGCUUCUUGGAACCCACCCAGAACACCAUUCAGAUGCAAGUCGAAUGCCCCCACUACUGAAUUGGAGAAGAUGGAGAAGAGGGAAAGAAAAAUUAGGGAACAAAGGGGAGAGAGGAG
Long non-coding RNA from Bos taurus (domestic cattle), 731 nucleotides. The record is from Ensembl. NCBI's taxonomy places the organism in Eukaryota, Metazoa, Chordata, Mammalia, Artiodactyla, Bovidae.